RNAcentral lists this ribosomal RNA (683 nucleotides) under uncultured Bacilli bacterium. RNAcentral describes it as "bacterial SSU rRNA". It matches the Rfam family "Bacterial small subunit ribosomal RNA", at positions 76 to 738 of the family's 1533-position model. Lineage: Bacteria; Bacillati; Bacillota; Bacilli. The record is from RNAcentral.
GAGCUUGCUCCACCGGAAAAAGAGGAGUGGCGAACGGGUGAGUAACACGUGGGUAACCUGCCCAUCAGAAGGGGAUAACACUUGGAAACAGGUGCUAAUACCGUAUAACAAUCAAAACCGCAUGGUUUUGAUUUGAAAGGCGCUUUCGGGUGUCGCUGAUGGAUGGACCCGCGGUGCAUUAGCUAGUUGGUGAGGUAACGGCUCACCAAGGCCACGAUGCAUAGCCGACCUGAGAGGGUGAUCGGCCACAUUGGGACUGAGACACGGCCCAAACUCCUACGGGAGGCAGCAGUAGGGAAUCUUCGGCAAUGGACGAAAGUCUGACCGAGCAACGCCGCGUGAGUGAAGAAGGUUUUCGGAUCGUAAAACUCUGUUGUUAGAGAAGAACAAGGAUGAGAGUAACUGUUCAUCCCUUGACGGUAUCUAACCAGAAAGCCACGGCUAACUACGUGCCAGCAGCCGCGGUAAUACGUAGGUGGCAAGCGUUGUCCGGAUUUAUUGGGCGUAAAGCGAGCGCAGGCGGUUUCUUAAGUCUGAUGUGAAAGCCCCCGGCUCAACCGGGGAGGGUCAUUGGAAACUGGGAGACUUGAGUGCAGAAGAGGAGAGUGGAAUUCCAUGUGUAGCGGUGAAAUGCGUAGAUAUAUGGAGGAACACCAGUGGCGAAGGCGGCUCUCUGGUCUGUA